Long non-coding RNA from Eriocheir sinensis (Chinese mitten crab), 668 nucleotides. RefSeq lists it as uncharacterized. Lineage: Eukaryota; Metazoa; Arthropoda; Malacostraca; Decapoda; Varunidae. The record is from RefSeq and is a predicted model, not a curated record. The transcript has 2 exons.
GCUUCCCUCUACGUGUCUGUACGUAGCUUGCUCCGCUGUUUAUAUUGCGGUGCCAUGCACUUGCAAGUUAUAGCUGCGCGUCAGGAAAGUGUAACGAUAUCUGCCUAUGGCAGUAUUGCUCAGAGUGCUGUCAGCACCCUCUGUUGUAUUUUUCCGCGCCAGCAGCGUUUUGCAUCUCGGCCGGGCGAGUUGGGGCCCGUCAGGUCACUCGCCGCGGCUCGGGACUUCCUUCUCCCCCUGACCGCCGUCUGGUGAGGUCACGGGGCGACGUUCCUCUACUCUCGCCUAUCUCUUGGCACCACGCGGUUUUCCUCCUGCUGGAGUGUGGGGAUCCUGGGCUUCGCCACUUCGGGAUACAGCCCACACCGGGUCUCAGUUUGGGUGUGUCGAGUCCGCGGCGGCCUCUUUCUGAAAGCCGCAUCUACCGCCGACAUCACGCGCCUGAUGAGAGGACCCACGGCAGGAAGGACAAGCUGCAGCCACCUCGAGCAAGGCUGUGCAACGAGCCUCUACUCUUCUCCCUCCGCACCAAGUUAAGUAGCUAGUUGUUAGUGUAGCCAGGGCAGGUUAGUCUUGUGCGAGCACGAGUAACGCUAGGCUCAGCUGAGUGUGUAUGUGAGAUUUGUCUGUGUUUUCUUUGUGUGUAAUAAAGUUAGUGCAUAGUUGUA